RNAcentral lists this unclassified non-coding RNA (245 nucleotides) under plant metagenome. RNAcentral describes it as "partial contains small subunit ribosomal RNA, internal transcribed spacer 1, and 5.8S ribosomal RNA". The record is from RNAcentral.
UCUCCGUUGGUGAACCAGCGGAGGGAUCAUUACCGAGUUUACAACUCCCAAACCCAAUGUGAACGUUACCAAACUGUUGCCUCGGCGGGGUCACGCCCCGGGUGCGUCUCAGCCCCGGAACCAGGCGCCCGCCGGAGGAACCAACCAAACUCUUUCUGUAGUCCCCUCGCGGACGUUAUUUCUUACAGCUCUGAGCAAAAAUUCAAAAUGAAUCAAAACUUUCAACAACGGAUCUCUUGGUUCUG